This 176-nucleotide small nucleolar RNA is filed under the name Solanum lycopersicum (tomato). RNAcentral describes it as "Plant small nucleolar RNA U3". It matches the Rfam family "Plant small nucleolar RNA U3", at positions 1 to 188 of the family's 221-position model. From Rfam's summary of the family: Small nucleolar RNAs (snoRNAs) are involved in the processing and modification of rRNA in the nucleolus. There are two main classes of snoRNAs: the box C/D class, and the box H/ACA class. U3 snoRNA is a member of the box C/D class. RNAcentral also lists the same sequence under 1 other name. Lineage: Eukaryota; Viridiplantae; Streptophyta; Magnoliopsida; Solanales; Solanaceae. The record is from Rfam by way of RNAcentral.
ACGACCUUACUUGAACAGGAUCUGUUCUAUAGGCUCGUACCACUGAAUCCUUGACUUCUAACGAGACAGGAUACCAAGUCUGGUGGAUGAAUCAUGGCCAUGAGGCUCGAGCGUGCAUGGCACCUUUCGAGGGUCAUGGUGCAGUGGAUGAUCGUUCUGAGCCUGGUUUACCGCCU